RNAcentral lists this transfer RNA (69 nucleotides) under Amblyomma sculptum. Its description in RNAcentral is "tRNA-Leu". Lineage: Eukaryota; Metazoa; Arthropoda; Arachnida; Ixodida; Ixodidae. The record is from RNAcentral.
AUUAAAGUGACAGAACACUAAUAAAUGUGAGGAAUUUAAGCUUCCUUAAUGAAUUUUAUUCCUUUAAUA